GGCGGUACUAAUUUCAAAUACUAGAGUACUCUAGCAAAAUUUACUGAGACGUGUUAAGGCUUACUGGUAACAGCCGGAAACCCAUAGAUGCAACUCUGGGUAUGCCACUUGACAUUUCUGUAAAAAUGGGAUUCCUCCAGUGAUCGUCGCGUGCAGGAUUGCGGGACCAGUCAACGGCCUGAAGACGAAAAUGUGGAUAGUCGUGUUUGUCGAAUUUGCCCAGAAUGGACAAUGUCGGCGAGGUUGACGUCUCGUCGCCAUUCUGUUCGAGAAAUUUAUAUAUGUAAAUUUCGGAAUCCUGGCUUGCCACGGCUAAUCGGCUUCCAUCCGGCGAAAAUUUAAUACACGACACGCGCCCUUGUCCCACAUUUGCCUAUUAAUAUACAGUAUAUAAGCCGGCACAAAAAGUGCAAUAUUACAGAGAAAUUCGUAUUUAGUGCUUUACUGCGCAACAGGAAAUACCUGAAACAACUGAACCAGCUGUAAAUCUUUCUGCUUGUACACCUUUAGCUUUCCAUCCGCCGUGCCCAUGGCGAGGAACGGCGCAAACCCAUCCAGGGCCGACAACAUGGAAUCCUUGAGGAAUAAACGCCAACGGACGCUGUGCGCCUGGAGGUCGUAGCAGUUGGCGUUACCGUCCAUGCCCACGGUGACGGCCAGCGACAGACUGGGCGGUGACAAUGUCGACACGAACGGCUGAGCGCCGUCGGCAUCCUUUUCCUCUGUAUUAACCGACGGGAUUUCUUCCGUGAAGCUAAACGCCGUCAAGCUGGUAACGCGAUCAAAAUGACCGGCAGUUAGAAUAGUGGCGGUCAAAGGAAUUUCCAGUGCCGCGCCGAAUGCGUUGUCGGUUAGUGUCGGCAGUUCGGCUCUCAGGAUGCAAUUCGCUACCAUUAAAAUUUGAAAAAUUGAAUUUGAAAUUUGAAUAAUUUAGUUUUGAAAAAUUUAUGCAAUGCAAAACAGUUUGAACGUUAACGUUGAAAACGUUUUGUCGAAAAUAAUGCAGUCCGGCUACGUUAUUUAUUGGUUUCUACAGAGUUUAUGCGUUACCGGUUAAGCCCAUUCACUACGAUUUUGCUCGACUACAGAAUCGUUUUGGAACCCAUCUCGAAUAUCCGAAUUUUCAAAGGUCAAUCACUUUAAAAAUUACAGCUUUCUCAGAUUUAUUUUUACCGGUUGUGCCGAUUAGGAUGUUGUAAAGGUCACUGUUGUUGUCUGAUUGCGGUUGGUUAUCGGAUGCUGUUGCGGUGUUUCGUUGCGGUUUGUAGUUGCUGGAUAACAUCACACGAACACCCCCAAAUUCUUCCGCUAACUGCAAUUUACCCACAGCGACAUUUUGUGCAGCGGACGCUGUUACAGCGGCAUUGCCAUGGGAUCCCGAAUUUUGCUGCGGAAGUUGCGAAGGAAUGCCCAAAACGACAAUCUUCCCAUCGCGCGAACCGGCAGCCACUUGGUUAUCGUUCAACUGGCACACGGCGAACACUGGCACCUGUAUAUGAAGAGCAAUUUCAUAGUGCAUAAUUUAUGCAAACAAACGAUUGUAAAAACAUUCUGGCAAGAAGACGAUUUUUGUUGCGAAAAAUUUAUUUUCGAAGAAAGCUGUAAUGUUGCUGUGCAUGUCAAAUUGCUCUUGUUGGAAAAACUUUUUUUUAACCCAUGCAUUACCUUGU
Molecule: long non-coding RNA, 1670 nt
Organism: Paramacrobiotus metropolitanus
Lineage: Eukaryota; Metazoa; Tardigrada; Eutardigrada; Parachela; Macrobiotidae
Exons: 3
Source: RefSeq, a predicted model, not a curated record